AACGAACGCUGGCGGCAGGCCUAACACAUGCAAGUCGAGCGAGGACUUCGGUUCUAGCGGCGGACGGGUGAGUAACGCGUGGGAAUGUGCCCUUCUCUACGGAAUAGCCCUGGGAAACUGGGAGUAAUACCGUAUACGCCCUUUUGGGGAAAGAUUUAUCGGAGAAGGAUCAGCCCGCGUUGGAUUAGGUAGUUGGUGGGGUAAUGGCCUACCAAGCCGACGAUCCAUAGCUGGUUUGAGAGGAUGAUCAGCCACACUGGGACUGAGACACGGCCCAGACUCCUACGGGAGGCAGCAGUGGGGGAUCUUAGACAAUGGGGGCAACCCUGAUCUAGCCAUGCCGCGUGAGUGAUGAAGGCCUUAGGGUUGUAAAGCUCUUUCAGCUGGGAAGAUAAUGACGGUACCAGCAGAAGAAGCCCCGGCUAACUCCGUG
Molecule: ribosomal RNA, 433 nt
Filed under: uncultured bacterium
Lineage: Bacteria
Description: partial 16S ribosomal RNA
Rfam family: Bacterial small subunit ribosomal RNA
Source: RNAcentral